CUGGAUUGGCCAAAACGUUUGUUUGGGUUUUUCUGUAACAGAUAUGGAAAAACCCAAACGAACUUUUUGGCAAAACAA
RNAcentral lists this microRNA precursor (78 nucleotides) under Ovis aries (sheep). RNAcentral describes it as "miRNA (ENSOARG00000022962.1)". Lineage: Eukaryota; Metazoa; Chordata; Mammalia; Artiodactyla; Bovidae. The record is from RNAcentral.